CAUCCCUUGACAGGUGCUCCACCCCCUAAUUGCUAUCUUGGGACCAGAAGUAUGUUCCCUAACUGCUGACCUUUGCUACUGCAAGUCCCUUACCUUACCCCUGGAAAUAUUGCAUUUGAGAGGGUCAAGUUAACAGUCAGAGAAGCCUGAAACAAAAUGGCCACCUGGUGCCUAAUGGACGUGGGGUGGAAGUGAAGGGUCAGGGAAGGCUUUAUAAACCUAAGCCCCAAGCCAGAGGGUCAGUCUGGCCAUAGGAGCUAUGGGGACCAAGUUCCUGAUGGAAGAUCCCUGGGGCAGGACUUGAGACUGCAGACGAAAGACUCAGAGUGGCAGCUUAGGUGGAAGAAAACCUCAAAGUCUGUACUGAAAGCAAGAUAAGUAGUCCAAGCCUCUUUGGUUUCUGUUUUCACAAGCACCGCUGUUGAGUAAGGCUGACCCCAGAUGGAGCAUUUUCUUUGAGUUGAAGCAGACACACGAUUUAGGUUCCCUUUCUCUUUUUGUUCCCAGUGGACUGGAUUGUGGCUGUAGGGGAGGUGGAGACCACUGAUAGGGAUGCCUGGGGAUGCCCCAAACUCUAGGCGCAGUUUUCAGAUGAUGAAGGACAGAGACUGAGGCAUAAGCCCUGAACCUGUAAGGGGCAGAGCUCACCAAGGACUGAGUGGGGGAGCAGACUCAGAACUCAUGAAGGUGAGACCUGUGAUCGCAGAGGCCUGUAUAGGGGACCCAUCAGGGCCAGGGAAGGCCACAGGCAUGACCAAAGCUGAGCCAAGAGUUUGCAGUCCUGGGCAGUGGGCCCCAAGCUGAAAGGCUCUGUCAGACUAAAGGUGGGACGAGGCCAAGGGGGCCACAGUUCAGACAAGGAUCUACUACCCAAAGCCCUCUUUGUCCUCAAAGCAGCCUCCCCUUGUCGAUUCAUUACAUCAAGGCAUGGCAGGAAAGAUCACAGGGGGGAAACACCCUGGAGGAACAAGGGAAGUGAGAUGGGAGUGGCCCAGGAACCAUUCUGGCACCCAUAGAUGCAUUACAAUCUCUGAUUCAGUUAGUCUAUCAGGUUCAUUUCCAUCCUGCCUCCUGCCUGACUUCAGACUAACAUGGCUAACUACUUUUCUAGUGUUCCCAAAUACUGCUUGUAGCACAGUCCCACUCUCUCCCUGCACAUCUUUUCCAUUUGCAGAGGAUAAGCUUUUGAGAGCAGAGGACUGUUGUUUGAGAUCUGGAUCCUUUAUGAUUUAUGUCUGGAUCAAAAGAAGGUUUAGAGAUUUCCCUGUUGCUAUCGACCGAUUGGAAACAGAUCCUGAACCCAGCAGGCUCACUCUGAUAAAGUGGAAUGCUGGGGAUUAAAGAAGCUUCAGCGAGAGAUUUGGAAAAAUGUACUGCUUGUAAAUCUCUUGCCUCCCCUCACAGACACAGAAUAGACUCAUGUCACUUGAGUGCUCAGGGGAUUUUUUUUGGUUUUGUUUUUAUUUUAAACUUCUAACCUUCGUGGGAGAGCUGGAUUAAUUAGCAAAGCAGCUCAACUCCAAGGGAUCUUGCCGUCAAUUUGUUACUCGUGUGGGUGUUCUUGUAUCCAGGAAAAAGCCAUCUCUGCUGUGCAGGGACUGUGUUAAACUGUGCUCAGGGAAAGACCAAUUCAGUACUGACUGAAGGCAAUGGGACUUUUAGCACUGACUUGAAAGGUCUGCUCCAAUGCCUGUUUAACAUGGCCAGCUUUUCAGAAACACUUGUUCUGCGAAUGCUUACCAAGAUGUGUCCUAAUUUACUGUCUGAGCCUAUGGCUGUGUGUUACAGUGUUAAGUAUGGCUAUCUCUGGGGGGUGGACAAAGCAUGACCUACCCCAGAAUAAUCACUGGAGUAGCUGAAAAAAUUAUUUUCAUCAGGUUUAAGCACCCAGUUUCCACUGAAUUUCAAUAUAAUUUGGGUGCCUUGGUGGUCCUUUCAAAACCCCAGCCAAUAUGACUUCACUGGGAAAGCUUGUUAAGGGCCAGAAACUGGAGCCAGGUAUCCUAGCUCCUACUCUAGUGUUUUACGUGCACGGCCACCCAACUACCUGUCCAUUGCUGCUGUAGCUUAGGUCUAGGGUGACCAAUUUGAGAAUGUGCAAUGACCAACAUGAGCUGUGAAUGGUUCCCUGUGUAGAGAGGACUGUUCCAGUGCUGGUAUUCUUGAAAGCCACCCUGUAUAUUGAAUAUUUCUAUUUCUUUUUAAGGACCUUCCUCCUCUUAAAUUCCUUCUUUCCUCUAGCCAGCCAACUAGGGUCUGCAUUCAGAUGCUAGGUCCAAAUCCUUUUGUGUUCUGGUGAAAUUUGGAUCCAAAUAUGUUUGACUCACUGCAUUUUCUAAUAUCCAGCAUUUGUUGCCAGAGUUUGUUUCACUCCUGUCUUGGCUUCCUCUUGUCUCUCUCCAUUAUUUAUUACUUCCUUUCUCCAUCUUCACACACUCUCCUCACCAGUCAGCAGCCCCCCAAGUCAGCUCCACUCUCUCAUUUACUAACCUAUCUUGGCUGUUGUCACGUGCCUCUUCAUUUGGAGAUAUUAACUCUUCCAACCUCUUCUACCUUUUAGAAAUAUUGUAUUUUUAAAAUCCAGCGACCCAUCCAGCCUGUCAGUCCCAUGACAUGGGAGUGGGUCUCCCAUCCAGAGUGUUGUGUUGCUUAGCAACAUAUUUCUCUCUUCUCUGAUCAGUUAUUUCCCUACCACAAUGUCUACUGAUGUAAGCACAACAAAUAAAAGCAAUAUUAAAGCAGCAAUUGCCCUUGUCCAUGUUUACUUAUUAUUUAUUAGUACUGCUGUAAAGAGGUCUGUACACAUUUCUUUACAUCCCACCUUGUUUAAAAGAGAUCUGAUUUUUCCAUCCCUUUGUAGCAUGCUUUCAUAAUUAAUGGGAGCUCACCACAAUUCAGUGAACAUGAUAUACAAUAUGGCUAAUAUUUUCAAAAGCAGUCUCUAAUUUUGGGUGCCUUCAUUUUUCAGUCCCCAAGCUGAAACCAGAAGGGCUUAAUCAUUAGAAAUGCCAUGAACCAGCCGCUCCCACUGAUUUGAUUUGGAGUUAUGGGUGCUUAUACCUUUGAAUAAAAUCAGAACUGAAGGGCCUUAUACUGGACACCUCAAAUGAAUUCACCAAUAAUUAAUUAAUAUAUUUAUUAUGUUAGCCUUGUUCCUCUUUCUAUCUGUUGCAAAAGGAUUAGUACAAGUUCAGAGUGAAUCAAAAAGAUUCCUUCCCCCCUUUUCCCUCUGCCCCAGGGGAUUUAGGGUGCAGAUCCACUUCCUACUGCUCUUUCAUCUUCUUUUCCAGCCUAUAUUUUCUGUACUGCACAGUAGUUCCAAGUAAACAAGUUUCCUUUCCUUAUUUGUAGCUAACCUCCCUUGAACUCUUCAGUAUAGCAACAAACUGCCUUGUUUUUGCUGUGGGCUGAUUCAUGUGCUGCUGGACUUGUGACUCAGCUUGGAUCUGACGCCAAAUGGGAUUUAUUCCACUUGUUAGGCCUGAUGGACAUGCAGUGUGGGGGAACAAAAUUUGACAAGACUUCUGACUCACUCAGUGGGCAGAAUAGAUGAUGCCCUGAGAAUGACUCUUCAUAAAUACCAAAUAAAGCUGUUAUCUGCAGGACUCCUCCUCCUUUUUUUUAAGGGAUUGAACUGUGGAUAGCACAUAAGACAAGAGACUGCAAGAAAAGGAAGGAUGUUGUAAUGAUCUGGAGAGCUGAAUACCAUUCUGGAGAACCGGAUUCCAUCUUUAUGUCUACCACAGAACUCCUCUAUGAUGCAAGACAAGUCACUUAAGUUACUCACGGUUGACCACUGAAGGACCAUUGAUAGCACUCAUUUCUGGCGCUAGGUGGCUCCAUCCUGAGACAUACUGCACUUGCUCGUCACAUGCUACCUUCCAAACCAGCAGUAGUAAAGCUGCAUACUUUACUCUUUUAUAUCUCUGCCUCUCAGAUAUAAGCAGCAGAGGCAUAGCAGGGCAGCUCCAUGGUUUGGGCAGCAGCAGUCCAUAUGGCUAUUUUUUGUGCCCCUCCAAAAAGUAAUGCUCAGGGUUACUGCUCCAGCACCUCCUCUCCCCAGACUGCUAUGCCAGUGCCCCCUCCUGCCCCAGUUACACUACUGAUAAAGAAAACUCACUGGCAUGGAAACCACUCUCUGCUAGAAAGCUAUGUUCAGAGAUUUAAGUAGGAAUGUUGGUGCCCUGAGCAGGAGAGAGGAGUGGAAAGCAGUGGGGUGGGGGGGAAGAGAAAAUAGGAGGCCUGAAUGCUUACCUCUUUGCAAAGAGGCUGCUGCGGAUGGCAUGUCCUCUAAAUCGGUGCCCAGGGCUGGUGCCUUACUCACCAGCCUUAGUUAUGCUAUAGGCAAUGCUGUUUCUGGUUUGGGAAGGGGAUGUGUGGAGCAAGUGUGGUAUAUCCCAGCAUGGUACUGCAUGGCACUUGUAAAUGAGUAGUAUUUACUCUGAGUCUGUGCUCCUCAUUUCUGGGUGCUUGGUAUAAGAUGCAUGGAGAUUGCACAAUUGCAACUGAAGUCAGUGGGAGCUGAAAAACCAGAUCCCAGGGUCUUGCAAAUUGGCUAACAAAUUAGUGAACACAUCUGGUCUCAGUUCCUUAUGUGUAAAAUAGAAAUAAUAAAUAUGCCUAAUGCCACAAAUGUACUGUGAAGAUAAAUUCACUGAUACAAAGAAUUUGGUUACUAUGGAGGGAGACCCUUGGAAACACUCCAGAAUGAAUUAUUGAUGUAAUAAUAUAAUGCAGUUUGGAUGGCAUAUACCAAAUAAGGAAUGGAGCCACUCAUUGAAUGAGACAGAGACUGUAUGCUGAAAAUAGCACAUGAACGUGUAAUUAAACACUAUAAGACAAGGGAUGCAUGUUGGGAGAGGGCAAAUUAAGGUUGUAUAGGCAAUCCAAUUUAUGGCAUUUUCUACUUCGGAGUAUUGAAAGUUAUGAAGUCUCUUGUGUUCAGUCAGGUUCCUUCAUCCCAAACUGGUCCCACAAUUAAAGUAGCACCCCAUGCUCAAAAACGUGUCCCUCUUUUCAUCAUCCUUGCCAAAGCUUCCUCUUCCCCUGUGAUUAUCUCAGAGUUUUCUGUGAGGCACUUGGAUUUUUUUUCAGUCCUAGUGUCAACAGGUUUGGGGCUUUUAUUAUUUCCAACCUCUGACUUCUUGCACAAAUAUGGCUGAACUGGUUGUCCUGGUCUUCAGCAUCUCCUAAGGGACUCCUACUGAAAUCGGAGUCAUCAAGGUUUCAUGACUACUGUCCUUUGAGAUGUAUGACAAAAUUCCUGACAGCAUAUAGAGUCAUUCAAAGGUACAACACUCUCACAACCUUAACUACAAUUAGUAAGGUAUACAUAGGCAGAUAUCCCAAAUCAGCACACUUGAUUUCUUGUGCGUGUGAAACUGCUUGAGUCUGAGUUAUCAAUCAUGCAAAGGACCUGUGCAUUCUGGCAACUAGAUCCUUUCCAUGUGACAUUAACUUUUUUAAAUCAUGGCUCUGAAAAUGAUCUAGGACCUUUUCCUGAUGGUCUACAAGACAAAAAGCUCUAGGUGCCCAGCAGUGGGUGAUUAAGUCCUGGUUAAGGAGUGGGUCCAUAAGAGGGUCAUUUUACAAAGGGAACUAUCAGAUGAAAAAUUGUGAGGAAGUAUUCUCACAAUGGUCAGAUUAUGGCCUACUAGUAGGUUAAAACCUUGAGGAAUCCAAAUGGGUUUUGUUUUAUUCUUUCUUCCUCACACAGGAUUUGUAGUGAUUGGGGAGCAUCCCUCCAAAAGAACCCGGUGUAGAUUCACAAGUGUCCAUGCAUUUUCUUUGUUGGUUCAGUCCUGCCUUAUGUGUGUAUGUGUCUAUGCCAGUCCAAGUAUCUGCUCUUUGUGCCUACAGCAGUUUUUGUUAUUUGGGCAUCUUGUGAUAUUUGGUGGGUUACUUAAUAUAACUCCAGUAGUCCCAGGUUUAUGUCAGAAAAAUCUCAGGUUAUAUAAGCACAAUAAGGCAAAUAAAAAGAACUUGAUAUUCUUAUUUGAAAUCUAAUUAUUUUGAAGCCAGUCUUUUGAUGCUAGGUCCUGCUUCAUCUUUUGCUAAGGUUUGGAAUUGGAAAUAUUGCUGAUUGCUCUG
This is a long non-coding RNA of Gavialis gangeticus (Gharial), 6090 nucleotides long. RefSeq lists it as uncharacterized. The transcript has 3 exons. NCBI's taxonomy places the organism in Eukaryota, Metazoa, Chordata, Crocodylia, Gavialidae. The record is from RefSeq and is a predicted model, not a curated record.